Molecule: ribosomal RNA, 1485 nt
Filed under: Triticum aestivum (bread wheat)
Lineage: Eukaryota; Viridiplantae; Streptophyta; Magnoliopsida; Poales; Poaceae
Description: partial small subunit ribosomal RNA
Source: RNAcentral
GAGGACACACGUCUCAGGAUGCGCAACUCUGGGACGCGAAGUAGUAGCAGUAGUGGCAGCUGGGGAAACAGGCAGAGCCAAAGCUCCCUUUGUGCUCAACGGUCUAGAGGGCCAUGCCUGACCUCGAGGGAGAGGGUACCGAGAGAAUCGGACUGGGCUGGUGCUGGCUCUUGGCGUGAUUGGAGCGCGCGAGAUGGAGACAGAGAGAAACGAAGAACGUUGGUCCUAGGCGGGGAAGGGGCUGGGCUUAGCGCGCCUCUACCUGCGGCCGCCGCGGCUGGACUCCUCGUCGUAGUUCUUCACCUUCUAGUAGAUGGGCCACAUGGAGUUGAGGUUCUUCUGCCACCGGCUCCCGGCGGCGUAGCGGCGGCGGUUCCGGACGGGGCUGGGGUGGACGUAGCUCUAGCGGCUGUCGACGCGGAUGGAGUUCUAGGGAGCGCGGUAACUCAACCUAUUCCGUAUGGGCGCCCUAAAGAAGGUCCACCCCUCCCACUCCCACGUCGAGUGGUUACUACUGCCGAGGGGUCAGUUGGGACGUUAGUGUUGUUUCUUCGUCGAUUACUAGGUUUAUCGUCUCGACCAGGGGUUCGUAGUACCCUCCUGAUUCUUCGUCCUUGGUCACCGUCCAGGUAGUCAAUGUUGAUGAUUGUUCUUUUUAUUCUUCUUCUUCAUCGUAAGACACAACAAAAAGACAAGUAUCUUUCAAAAGAUCUUUUAAGCAGUCUCCCUCAAGAACCGACAGACAGACGAUACUCCGGACUUUUUGACACUUAAAAGACUUAAAGAAUAAAAUAUACCACUGAAGACGUUGGCAAAAAGAACACCGGAACUUUCUGAUUUUCACCCUUGAUGGAUGACAACAAACGUCGUAACUCUCUCACUCAAACGUCUACUAAAGUCAAACCAUGAACGUUUAGGUUACCUUUUAUAUGAAACAAUCUUUGAUCAUGCUUACCUACCUCAAGGUGGACUUUUCUAUACACACCGGACCGGGAUAUAUAUUAAAUUCCGGCGCAAACCAUACCUACAUUACAUUAUUAAAUUAUGUACACAUAAAUUGAAUGGCCACAUUGAAUGGCCGGUCUCGAUAAAGGUCGGUCUUUGGUUUUACUGCCCACCUGCAGGCAUAAAAAAUAUUCACAUACAUCUUCCUUUCGCUAUUACGUUUGUUCCGCCACACAGCGACCUUCGUUCACCUUUACGUUAACAAGGUUAAAAAAAGAGCACUUACAAACCAAACGUCUUACGGUGACUUCUUUUACAAUAGAGGACUUAGAAAAAAAAAGAAAGAAGAUUCACAUAUGGAAUUCAAAACCAACAGAAGCACCGUACGAUAGUGUGCACACCCACACCGCAAGUGAUCAUGGGGGAGGCUAGGUAUGAGAAAUAACGAGUUUGCCUACAUAGGCUGAUAAAAUCUCGAUCUAUGUAGAUAAACUCGCUGUUUAUUAUACCCAGCCUCCCUCAUCAUUUUAACAGAGGUCC